Lycium ferocissimum is the source of this 743-nucleotide long non-coding RNA. RefSeq lists it as uncharacterized. The transcript is spliced from 3 exons. Lineage: Eukaryota; Viridiplantae; Streptophyta; Magnoliopsida; Solanales; Solanaceae. The record is from RefSeq and is a predicted model, not a curated record.
UCUAUUUUCUUGAAACAAAAAACAAAGACUCUUAUUAAAAAAAAAACGAGAUCAACACUCUGAAAAGUCGCAAUCGAAAAACAUACAGCCCUUCGGAAUGGGUGUAUACAUGCCGAUCAAUAUGUAAUCGGUUUCCUCUUUCUCCUACCUAUAUCUGACCAAGUUAUCUGAUUAAAAAAACAUAAACUAAAUCACUGUAAGUUUGCUUUUUUAGUCCAGCAAAAAUAUCACCAUUCCGUCAAUUUGAAGAACAGAUCUAAUCUUCAAAAACAUGAUUUAUAACCGUGAUGUCCGCACACCUAGACCAAUUCCACGAGAAACUGCCACCUCCCAUUAGCAAUAGGUAAUAGCUUGGAUUAAGGCUAUUACAUGUGCAGGAGGAGUUAACAAAAUAGCAGGAUUAUCAUGCACCGUGCGGAGUUGGGAGCCUUUCUUUGGCAAAGCGACAACUACGGAGUUUGCCUACUGAAAGUUAUGCCGUACGACUAGAUUAUGCAACUUUUUAAAUAGGGACCUGCAAGAGUCAAACAAGGAUGCACAAAUAGGUGAAGGUUGUUUCAAUAGGUGGAUUAUUCAGUUGAGUCCAAUUCUAUUUCAAGAGGCACCAGAUUCCUUGAGUAUGCCAACUGCAGACCAUGAAAAAGGGCAUUGAUUCAAAGAAAAAAAUGUGGUUGAAGAAGUUUAUCUUUUCUGCAAAACCCACAAUCCAGACACCUUGAUCAUUUAUGAUACUACUAACUAAU